CUUCUUACUUUCCUUCUCCUUUCUCCUUCCUCCUCCAUUUUCACCUCGUUUUUAAGCUUUCAUUUUGUAGUCUUGAGCUCCUCACGAGCACCUCCUCGCCGCCACCCUAUUACCACCAUUUGGACACCACCUUGCCGCCACCUCCUUCCUUGCGUUGAACCGAGGUAUUUCCGGUUCGUAACUAGGAACCCCGUGUUUGUUUUGCAAAGAUCAAGAAAGGUGAUGGCGACCGAACAACGUGAACUAUAUGCUGCAUGGGGAAUGAUGGGCGGUGAUCACCUAGUUUAAUCUAGUAGACAUAAUAUUAGUGGUGUAGUUAUUUUGAAAAUGUAUCAAACUAUUAUUAUCAUUAAUGAAAUUUAAGUACUAUUUUUCGCUGCAAAACUCUGUUAAGCCUUACGUAAUCACGUGGCGGUAAUACUCCCAUGUUACUCCCUAAAGUUGGAUUAUUAUUGUUAAUAUUAGAGAGUAAUUUGGGGGUGUUACAAAGUGGUAUCAGAGCAUAUAGGAUAGACCUAAGAAGGGUAUAUAAAACUGAUGGGUAGACCUAAGAAGGGCAUAUAGGAUAGAGUUUCGCAUUUGUUUUUCCGAAAGUAUAUAUUUAAAUAAAAACUACUUUCUAUUUUAAUACGAAGAAAGAUUAAUAGUGGGGAUUAUUGGAUUGACAAUGAACUCUGGCUAAGGCAGGACUUGGGCUCAGGGCAACGUCGACCCUAACCUCUCCUACCUAGGAUCUCAUUGGUCCAAUUAAUCCACAUUAUGAAUCUAGUAUUCAACUUACAACUAUAUGUAAUAUUUUCGAAAUUAAAAGAAUUUGAAACGUAUUCAAAAAGUAAUUUCAAACUUUACGUGAAUUAUGUGCAUAUGGACUAUGCAAACGUCCAAAUUAUAUUUUAGAAUACAAAGGUUCGAAUUAAAAUUCGAAUUGCAUUGAGAUUGGUAGUCUUUUGGGAAUUUUAUAUCCCAAGGUAUAUUAAUGAAGGUUUAUGGAUUAUUAUUUGAUAAUUAUUCCUAAAUUGGAAAAGGAUUGGAAGGUGAAUUGCACUCUUAUGUGAAUUUGUGUGUCAUAAUUGCAUGCAAAUUAUGAUAAAAUCUUGUGAUGGUUUAUUUUGAGAUGCUAUCUAGAGUUGCUUUUAAAUGGCAAUUUAAACUUACCAGUCAAUUUGAUUAAACGUUUAGUAUCUUGUGAACAGUAAUCACAAUUCUGAGUCUUAGCUGGUAGAUGAAUAAAUUGUUUGUAAAUUUAUGUGUCUAAUUACCACAUUAUUCAGGAUCAUGUCUCUAAGGCAACG
Molecule: long non-coding RNA, 1292 nt
Organism: Chenopodium quinoa (quinoa)
Lineage: Eukaryota; Viridiplantae; Streptophyta; Magnoliopsida; Caryophyllales; Amaranthaceae
Exons: 3
Source: RefSeq, a predicted model, not a curated record